GAUCCAUUAGCUCAGUUGGCAGAGCAUCUGACUUUUAAUCAGGGUGUCCGGGGUUCAAAUCCCCGAUGGAUCACCA
RNAcentral lists this transfer RNA (76 nucleotides) under Pseudoramibacter alactolyticus. RNAcentral describes it as "tRNA-Lys". It matches the Rfam family "tRNA". From Rfam's summary of the family: Transfer RNA (tRNA) molecules are approximately 80 nucleotides in length. Their secondary structure includes four short double-helical elements and three loops (D, anti-codon, and T loops). The record is from RNAcentral. RNAcentral also lists the same sequence under 1 other name. Lineage: Bacteria; Bacillati; Bacillota; Clostridia; Eubacteriales; Eubacteriaceae.